AAACCAUCUUUUGAAAAUAAAUUUAACUCUAAAAUCAAAAUCCUGAUCGUGUUUUUAAUUCUCGUGUAAUUAAUGUCGAUUCUCAUGAUAAUGUAGAAGGGCUAGUUUCCCACAUAAUGAAGGUUUCGUUUUUAAGCGCCAAUGAGGAAACAGAUUACUUUCUUCAAGCGAUGUACCAUUUUACCUGUAAAGUUAACACAGCAAAAGCUUAAAGUUGUGUAAAAAUUACUUGUAUUUUCGUUUGGCAGAGAGUUUUUAUGAUUCAUAUUAAAUUGUAAACAACUAAUGCUAUAUAUCAAAAUACUUUAGGUGUGGUGUGGAAAAUAUAGACCUGAAGUAUUGAAACUUCGAAUUAUGACUGGCUCCCAUAGUCCAGCUCCCUACAGGGUAAUUGGUCCGCUGGCAAAUACUCCGGAGUUCGCCAAAGAAUUUGGUUGUCCACUGGGCUCCCCCAUGAAUCCCGUAAAGAAAUGCUCCGUUUGGUGAUAAAAGUGCCAUGCAGUGCAUCAUUUGAUGGAGGGGGGAAAGAAAUGCAGUGUUUACUCACUAUCAUCUCCCCGUAAGGUUUUAAAUAUUCCUGUGAUCUGAACCGCUACUGAACCGCUUCCUCAUCCAUCUACUGAACCGCUUCCUCAUCCUGUUGGCCAUUUUAAUGUAGUGCUGCCAUCUGUUGGAAAUUGAUAAAACUAUAACGCGUCUUCUGAAGAAAAUGUUUUUUUCAUCUCUUUCAGGCAUUACGGCACAAUCGAAUGAAGUUUCCUUCCUUUUUUAUUUUUAAUAUUUGAAGUGAUGUUUACCGAAGUUUCAACGUGAACGUUGUGAAGUGUGUUAUAAACUCAGCAAGAGCUAUUUAUGCGGAAAAACACCCUCCAUUUCUGGAAAUGUUUGAUGACGUGUCAAGCGGAAUUAGAAAAAGAGAAAUCAUUAUUAUACGAAUAUUUCAGCUUAGAACUCAAAAUAAAUAAAAGCUAAUAUUCGUGUGAUUGAGAACUUAGACAGAUUGAAAUGGAAGUGUUAGUUUUAAUUAACUAUCAUUAAGUUUUAUUCAUCCCAGUAGCUGAGUUGACAUAUAUAAAAAGUGAUCUCUGUUGUUUUUAAUAUAAUUAUAUGUAAAAUAUGAAUAAACACGUUCUGUACAAAA
This is a long non-coding RNA of Stegodyphus dumicola, 1141 nucleotides long. The record is from RefSeq and is a predicted model, not a curated record. NCBI's taxonomy places the organism in Eukaryota, Metazoa, Arthropoda, Arachnida, Araneae, Eresidae.